UACAGAGGGUGCAAGCGUUAAUCGGAAUUACUGGGCGUAAAGCGUGCGUAGUCGGUUAUCUAAGUCGGGUGUGAAAUCCCCGGGCUCAACCUGGGAAUUGCAGUGGAUACUGGCAAGCUAGAGUGCGGUAGAGGAUGGUGGAAUUCCCGGUGUAGCGGUGAAAUGCGUAGAGAUCGGGAGGAACACCCGUGGCGAAGGCGGCCAUCUGGACCAGCACUGACGCUGAGGCACGAAAGCGUGGGGAGCAAACAGG
RNAcentral lists this ribosomal RNA (253 nucleotides) under uncultured bacterium. RNAcentral's name for it is "partial 16S ribosomal RNA". It matches the Rfam family "Bacterial small subunit ribosomal RNA", at positions 524 to 776 of the family's 1533-position model. The record is from RNAcentral.